This is an RNA transcript of Vitis vinifera (wine grape), 1482 nucleotides long. It is a transcript of the gene named UDP-N-acetylglucosamine transporter UGNT1, with no coding region annotated. The record is from RefSeq and is a predicted model, not a curated record. The transcript is spliced from 11 exons. Lineage: Eukaryota; Viridiplantae; Streptophyta; Magnoliopsida; Vitales; Vitaceae.
UGCCACUCAAAUAUUCUCUGCCCCCUGUGCCUCUGUCCGUGUCUGUGUCUCUCUGUCUCACUCAACUGCUGCUACCCUGCACAUUUCUGAAUUCUAGAGAGAGAGCGAGUCAUGGAAGAAGCGACUUCAACCAAGAGUCAGCCCUUGCCGGUGACGGACUCGCCGGUGGCCAAAGAAAGCCACCGGAGUGCCAAGGGCAUGACGAAAAGAGGUGUUUACGCUGCCAUCUCCUACAUGGUUUGCGCAAUUCUCUUGAUAUUGUUCAACAAGGCAGUUCUUUCUUCUUAUAAUUUUCCAUAUGCAAAUGUCAUCACUCUUUUUCAGACGAUAUCUUCCUGUUUAUUUCUCUAUGUGAUGAGACGCUGGAAGAUAAUUUCUUUCUCAGCUGGUCAACCAGAGAGCAUCACUGAUGACUCAGCAACACAUGUACCAAUUAAGACAUUGGUUCACACCCUUCCUCUAGCAUCAUCAUAUUUGCUCUACAUGCUGAUCACAAUGGAAUCUGUACGCGCCUUAAAUGUACCUAUGUACACCACACUAAGACGAACAACUGUGGCUUUUACAAUGGUGGUUGAGUAUUUCCUGACAGGGCAGAAACAUUCACUUGCUGUGCUUAGCAGUGUUGGGAUAAUCAUACUUGGUGCAUUUAUUGCUGGAGCUCGGGACCUGUCAUUUGACUCCUAUGGCUAUGCUAUUGUUUUUGUGGCAAACAUUUGUACAGCUGUAUAUCUUGCUUCUAUAUCUCGUAUUGGAAAAUCCAGUGGCCUCAGUAGCUUUGGCCUUAUGUGGAGCAAUGGAAUAAUAUGUGGGCCAGCCUUACUGUUAUGGACAGCUAUGAAUGGUGACCUGGAAGCUAUGAUGAACUUCCCCCAUUUGUUCUCCCCUGGCUUUCAGGCCAUGAUGCUUCUUUCAUGUAUUAUGGCUUUCUUCUUGAAUUACUUCGUAUUUCUCAAUACAACUCUCAAUUCGGCACUCACACAGACAAUUUGUGGCAAUCUGAAGGAUCUUUUUACGAUUGGGCUUGGCUGGCUGAUAUUUGGUGGACUUCCAUUUGAUUUGUUAAAUGUUGCUGGCCAAUCUAUUGGUUUUCUGGGGUCCUGCCUGUAUGCAUAUUGUAAACUCAGAGGAAAGUAAUUUUGAUGCAGCUGCCCAAGAACCUCUCCUUCUUUCUUUUUUUCUUUGAGCUUGCAGUUUUGCAGGUCUCUAGCAGUCCUCCGACGUCUGCAGACACUAAUAGGUAACUUCAGGUAUGAUAAGUGUAAGCUGUAGAGAUCAUUAAUGGGCUCUUUUUUUUUUUUUUUCCAUCUUGAUGUUGAUUGCUCGAGAAAAAGGAGCUUCUUUUUCUCUCUCUCUCUUUCUCUUUCUCUCUCUUUCUCUCUGUGGAUGAACUCAAUGAAGGAAUAAGUUUUCUCUCUUGCGGAUUGCAUGGAAUCACAUGUACAAGUUUCAAACUUAAAUCAAUUCAUCGUUUGGAUGUGUUUA